Callithrix jacchus (white-tufted-ear marmoset) is the source of this 3255-nucleotide long non-coding RNA. The record is from Ensembl. NCBI's taxonomy places the organism in Eukaryota, Metazoa, Chordata, Mammalia, Primates, Cebidae.
AUUUGAAUAAGGAAUCUUUUCAGUCAAGAAUGCAAACAUUAAAAUUUUUUUCAUCUCAAGCACGCAGUAUAAGAUUUCUGCCCACGAAGCAGUUCGGAUCCUUGGUCUUUUCUUCCCCUUCGAGGUUGAUUUUUCUACUGCAGUGUCUGGGCAGAUGUGACCGAGGGGUGCCAUUCCCUCAUGAAUAUUUUUAACAGCUAAUGGAAUGAAAUGGGUCUUUCUAGGAUUUUCUGGCACAGACACUAAAGAAUAGAAGGAAUGUUUCAUUAGGUAAGACCACAUGUUUCUCACUGAUGGAAUAAAAAAGGUACUGAUACAUAAUUGAAAAGGCUGAGGAUUUUAAUGACAUUUUCCUCUUCAUUAUAUUCUUUGUUUUUUUUUUUAAUAGGUAAGUGAUCCCUGAGAUAAAUGAAUAGAAAAUCAAGGAAAAAUUAAGAGGAAAAAUCAUGGAAGGCAUAUGAUGGACCAGGAUGCAUUUCCAUAAGGCAGGGUGAGAAGACCUAUGUCUUCAGAAAUUUAAGAGAAAUAUGUCUUCAAAGGCAAAGUCCACCAAGAUGCUCAGUAUAAAAAAGCAGCACCUAUUGCGUAAGAAGCAGAAAAGAAGAUACCUAGGAGUGCAAUUUCUGAUUGAAAUGGUAUGUUUAUACUUGACUUUUUCAGAAAUCACUAAACCAUUUUCCAAGUUGUCUGUACUAUUGUAUGUUUUACCAGCAAUGUAUGAGGCUUCUAGUUUCUCCAUAUCUUUGUUAACACUUACUGUUGACAAUAACUUUGAUACAUUAAUUAUAGCUUUUCUAGUAGGUAUAUAGUGAUAUCUCAUAAUGGUUUUAAUUUACAUUCUAAUAAUGUAAACAUAUGAGAUAUGUUGACUAUCUUUAUGUGUGCCUACUAGCUAUCCUUUUAAUAUGCUGUUGGGUUCAGUUUGCUAACAUUUUCUCAUGGUAUUUUUCUGCAUCUAUAUUCAUGAAAUAUAUUUAUCUGCUGCUUUUUUGUGGCAUCUUUUUCUAGCUUUGGUAUCAGAUAUUUCUGGCUUAAAGAAUGAAUUGUGAAGUGUUCAUCCCUCUAUAUUUUUGAAAAGUGUUUGUGUAGGGUUGAUAAUAUUCUCUCUUUAGGUAUUUGAUGGAAUUCAUGGUUGAAAUCAUUUGGGUCUUGGCUUUUCUUUGUGGAAAAACUUUUAAUUGCCAAUUCUAUUUCUUACUUGUUAUGGUGGGUGCAUGUAUAUUAUCUGCUUCUUCUUUAGUCAUUUUGGGGAUUAAUGUCUUUUUAUGGCAUUGUCCAUUUCAUCAAAGUUGUUAAAUCUGUUGGUUUUUAGUUGUUCAUAACAUUCCCUUAUAUUUUAAUUUCUGGAUAGUCCGUAUCAAUGUUCCUUCUUUUAUUCCCAAUUUUGAUGAUUUGUGGUUUCUCUUUCUCUCUCUCUCAACCAGUCUAGCUAAAGAUUUUACAAUAUUAUGAUCUUUUAAAAAAAAAUACAAUGUUUUUUUGGUUCUCUAUUUUAUUGUUUUCUGCUCUGAUUUUUAUUAUUCUCUCCCUUCUGCUUAUUUUUGUAUUUAAUUUGCUCUUUUUUUCUCGUUUCUUAGCAAGGAAGUAUAAACUAUUGGGUUAUAAUUUUUUCCUCUUUUCUAAAACAGGUAUUUAAAACUAUAAAUUUCUCUCUGAGAAUUGAUUUACCUCCAUCUCAUACUUUUGAUGUGCUGUAGUAUGUUGUUUCUGUUUUCAUUCAGUUCAAAAUACUUUCUAAUUUCCCUUGUGAUUUCUUUUUAAACCAUCUGUGAUUUAACUUCCAAAUAUUUGGAGAUUUUUUAAAUGUAAUUAUUGGUGUACCUUUCUAAUUAUAUUCCAUUUUUACAGUAGUUUAUACAUUAAAUGAUUUAUAAUACUUUACAACAUGUUAAGAUUUGUUUUAUGUCCUAUAUUAUUUGGUCUACUCUGGUGAAUGUUCUAUGUGUACUUAAAAGAAAGAUUAUUUUGCUGUUUUUGGGAGGAGUGUUUUGUAAAUAUCAAUUAAGUCAAGUUGGUUGAUAUUAUCCAAGUCUUUAUCCAUAAUGACUUUCCAUGUUGUUGUUAUAUCAAUUAUUGUGAAGGAGAUAUUGAAGUAUCUAACAGCAAUUGCUGAAAUGUCUAUUUAUCUUUUCAGUUUUGUUUUGCUACAAGUAUUAUGGUACUCCUUUUAAGGUGCAUAUACAUUUAUAAUUAUUGUACAAUAAAUCUUCACUUAAAGUUGUCCAUAUGUUCUUGGAUAUUGUAAUUUUAAAUGAAAUUAUGUACAGCAAGUCCUCCAAUAUACAUUGCUUCAUUCAAUAUUGUUUCUUUAUAACACUGAUGAAAAAAAUUGGUUUGUUACAUGUCAUUUUUCUCAGAGUUACAGGUUCCAAAAACUUGUCAAUGAUGCUAAGUGAGGACAGACUGUAUCUUUCUGAUAUAUUGACCCUUUUGCUAUUAUGAAAUGUUCCUUUUUUUCUGCAGAUUGAUUAUCCCUUAUUUGAAAUGCAUGGCACCAGAAGUUGUUUCAGAUUUCAGAUUUUUCAGAUUUGGAAUACUUGCAUGUACAUAAUGAGAUAUCUUGAGGAUGGAACCCAAAUCUCAACACAAAAUUUAUUUAAAUUUAUUUAUAUUUUAUAUAUACCUCAUACACAUAGCCUGAAGGUAAUUUCAUACAAUUUAAAAAUAAUUUUGUACAAAAGGUUGUGUUAAAGUCUUAUGUGUAAAAUUUUCCACUUUGGCAUCAUGUUGGCACUCAGAAAAUUAUUAGAGCAUUUCAAAUUUUAUAUUUUCAGAUUAGGUGUGAUCAGUCUGUAGUAAUAUUUCUUUUCUCAAGUGUAUAUUUUUACCACUCCAGUUAUUUAAUAAGUAAAUAUUUAAACUGUAAAGUUUACAUAGUAUAUAUUUUACAAUUCCUGUAUGUUCAAUCUAUCUGUGUCUUUGAAUCUGAACUGUUUCUCUUGUAAAUGGCACAUACAUAGAUAAUGCUUUUUUGAUCAAAUCUGAUAAUCUCUACCUUUUGAUUAGUGUGUAUUUAGACCAUUAAUAUUUAAUAUAUUUACUCACCUGUUUGGCAUUUUGUCUACCUUUUAUUUGUUUUCUAAAUGUCUCUUGUCAUUUUCUGUUCCACCUUUUGUGUUGACAAAUAUUCUUAGAAUUCUAUUUUAAUUUUUCUAUUGAUUUUUAAAACAUAUUUCUGAGUUUUUUUUUGGUGAUUGCCAUAAAAAUUACAAUAUGCAUUCUAACUUACCAUGUUCUACCCAAGUGGCUAAAUUU